This 5202-nucleotide long non-coding RNA is filed under the name Carassius auratus (goldfish). Its description in RNAcentral is "lncRNA (ENSCARG00000023939.1)". The record is from RNAcentral. Lineage: Eukaryota; Metazoa; Chordata; Actinopteri; Cypriniformes; Cyprinidae.
AUGCCACCCAAGAAGAAGAAAGGGGACAGAACAGAAAGGGGAAGAAGCUUUUUCAUAAAGCAGAGUCAGAAUGUAUUUGCAUCUAAUUAAGGUGACCAGACGUUGUGGUUUACCUAGGACAGUCCCGGUUUCACAAGGUAUGCCCCAGUGUCCUUCCAAUUCACUUAAAAAAUUGAAAUAUGGCCUGGUUUUUAGCUGUUCAACUUGCUCACUGGUUAAAAAGUAUGCAUCUUCAAUGUUCCACUCUUUUCCAUUGUACUGUAAGUUGAUUUGUCAACACAUACAUUCUAGAACAUCUUUCACCUUGCAGUGUAUGUGGUGGCUAUUACAAAAGAACACAUUAACAAUAUCACAGCCUCGCUCAGUGCAAUCAGUUUCUAAAGAUAUCUGAAGAAAUUGCCAAAUGAAACUGCUGAAAUAAGCUGAUCUCUUUUCACAACACAAUGUAAAUGCUCAUUUUCCAUCGCCCACUAAAAUAAAUCAGAAAUGGCAUCUGAUAUUGUUCAAACAGCUAAGACACAGCACUUUCUUAUAUACUGUAGUACAAACAGAAAAUUACAUGCAAGUACAUUUUAUGGUUUGAGGAUCCAUUAAUGUAGAUUAAAAUGUUUUGAUUAAAUGUUUCAGGAAGUCUUUACUUGAAUUGCAAUUUUACACUGAAAUGUAAAAAAAAUUAACAAAAAAAUACACAUACACUAUUACGUUUGGGGUCAGCAAGAUUUUAAAAGAAAAUAUUUAAUUUAGCAAUUAUUUAUUUAAAUAAAACUAUUUGUUUUUAAUCAAAAGUGACUGUUAAGACAUUUAUAAUGUUAAUAUGUGUGUGUGUGUGUGUUUCUGAAGCAUAAAAUAAGCUAAUUAAAAUGCUUUUUGAAAGAUCACGAAGACUGGAGAAAUGGCUGCUGACUUUUUAAUGUAAAAAUUUUUUUUGAAUGGUAUUAGUGAGUCGUAUUAGGAAAUAAAUGUAAACCAAUAUUUUGUAGUAUUUAUAACAUUUCUCUUGCCGCAUCUACCAUUUUGAAUUUCUUUUUUUCAUUGUGCUCAUUACAGUGCUUUAUUAGUUUGCCUCAUCUGUGAUGGAUACAUGCAGUGCUGGCUUAGAAUUUGGCCAAAAUGAGGUAUCUUAGGCAGCAGCUUAAUUAAGUUGUUUACGUUUUGGAAGCGCUCACUAGGUUUGGAACCGAGUGAAUAUCUUUUGUUAUUUGCAUUCGAUUCUCCUCUAAAUUUGGGGCAAUUGAAUUAAACAGGAGGGAGAUGCCCAUGAAGAUGCUUGAAACACACUGGGAUUAACCUAAAGAAAUUAUGCUAGCAGGAAUAUGCACCUAAUAUACUGUACGGCAUUUAAAUAUGCUAACGAUAUUCCCAUCAUUAUUUCAAAGAACGAUAGGCAGGCACCUCCACAACCUGCCGAUGUUUCCCAAAUUGGGACUUGGGGGAAAAAAAAAUCUCAUAACUAAUUUGUUCUAAACUCUCUCUGACUCUCCUCUCCUCCCCCUUAUCUACUUUAUAUUUUUCUCUUUCAUUAAAGAAAGAGUGUGGCAUCCAUGUGAAGUUGAGAAUAAAUGCGAUCGUGUGUUAAAGCUGAAUUGGAGGGAGGGGGAUACAGACCGAGUGGUUGGCGUGUUAGUGCAGUGGGGAGUGGGGCUAAACGAAAACAGAUCUGAGAUGGAAAGGGUGAGAAUGAGCUGGCACAGCAAACGGCAUAGACUGGCAGGAGUCUACUGGUGUGUGUGUGUGUGUGUGUGUGUGUGUGACAGAGAGAGAAAGAUGUGUCUCUGUUUCUGAAAGAUACUGUGUAUGCGUGUAUGUGUGUGUGUUUGCGCGUUCGUGUGUGUGGCCAUGUGCGCUUGUGGACAUUAACUCUGUUUCACCCUCAGUAAUGCAUUGUGAUUGGCUGGAUGGGAGCUGGCUUUGGCACAGUCUCAUUUCCGCAGAAGGCCGUACAACAGGAGGGCCUCGACCACAUGCCGCAUCUGCCUCCUAUUUUGCUGCCAGCACACACACGAACGUGCACACACACACAUACACACAGGUGUUCAUAUACAGGUGCUUAUAGACCUUUAUACACCCAUAUAUACAUGCAGUAACGUCAUUUUUAAAACUUGAGGAAAAAAGUGUCACACAAUUUCACCUGCAAUUAGUAUGUUCACACUGUCAGAAGAGUGUUUUCUUCAUUCUUCAGUCUGUCUGUCUGUAUAUCUAUCUAUCUAUCUAUCUAUCUAGACUCUCUGUUUUUUAAUGUUUUUGAAAGAAGUCCUUUAUGCUUAUCAUACUUAUUUGAUGAAACGUACAGUAAACAAUAUUGUGAAAUAUUGUUACAAAUAUUGUUUUUUUCAGUUGCUUUGGUGCAUUUCUCAAAUCAUCCUUGAUAUUUGCAAAGGAGUACGUGCAUUUAUCAAAACAACUUGAGUCAGUCUCUAGAGACUGGUUCCUUAGUAGAAGUCUCAAUGGGUCCUGCACACUGUAGAGAGAGGCUACAGAAUCCAGUUUGGUUCUCCUCCACCUUGGUUCAACAGGGUUAUUCCCACAGUGGUGGGUCCUGAGCAGGCUCUGGUCAUAAAAGUGCACACUCUCCUGAGGAAGGAGGCCAUCGAGGUGGUCCCUCCUCUCAAUAGAGAUUCUGGGUUCUACAACCGGUACUUCAUAGUUCCAAAGAAGGAUGAAGGGUUGCGUCCAAUUUUAGAUCUGCGUCUAUUGAACCGCUCAGUCAAGCGACUGAAGUUCAGGAUGCUCACUCAAACAGGCCAUGUCUCAGAUCACUCAGAUCAGUUUGCACACACAGUCCAAUUUCCAUAAUUUUGCACACGUUUAACCAUGUUCUCAUUCAGAAAACACAAACACACAAUAUAAUUAACUCAAGCAUAAAAAAAAAAAAAAAACUCAAAUCUUAGGAUGAUAUGCACAGGUGCAAGAGUGAUUAAGAGUUUUGGAAAAUGAACCCUGGUAUUGGGAGACAAAGAGGAAUAAGAGGGGAAAAUUUGAUCAAAUACAAAGCACUAUAGUUGACCAUGCUCUUUUACAUGAACUGACCAUGAGGGAAGUUGGCUUACAGGCCUAAAUCAAUAAGUCAAAUACGUUUUUGCACUAAAAUAACACACAGUUAUGGGUUUUGCUAAAUUAAAGGAAAGUUUUGAAUGAAAAGUUUAAUUUUGCAAAAGAUUCUAAAGUGUUCUGCUACUUGGGUGUGUGGAUCUGUGAAUUUUGUGUUGUGUUUUGUCAAAAUGAGUCUUGUUUUUAAAAUUGUGCUUUUAUUAUGUAUUUAUUCAUUUAUUUAUUUUUGGAAAGUAACUGACAGUAUUCCAAUGUGUGUUAAGUGUAUAUUCUGCUUUUCAUUUACUUUAAGAUAUCUGUACAGUAGUGUAAUGACAGUGAAUGUUUCUCAGUUUAUUGAUGAAUUUUAUUCUAUCUGCAUCCCUCUCUAUAUGUUGUAUACUGUAACAGUCAUUGAUUAGCACAGUGAUUCCUAUUUUCCCAAAAGGAGGUUUUUAUAAAAGUGUUUUUAAUUGAUCUCCCUAUUGUCCUCUAGGCAGUGAAGUAGUUUUGACAGGUUUGUGUGUCAUCUGAAGCCGUAGUUUGAGUCUGACAAAAGAGAACAUGUUUUUGACUAAACUAUUUGAUUUUGACCUGGAAGUUUGACGUUUGCACAAGUUAGUGUGUAGUUUUGAGAUUGUGUUUAUAGUUGUUUCAAAAUGGUAAAUUGUUUCAUGAAUUGUGUGUUAGCAAUUGAGAGAAACAGCAAGAAAGAAAAACAAGAACAAAAGAAACAAAAUAUAUAUAUAUAUAUAUAUAUAUAUAUACAAACAACAUUGUUUAAUCAAUGCAUCGUGCAAUGCAAUAACAAUGUGAUUUGCAGCUGUCGCAUGGCAACAGUUUGGAUGACAGUUACUGUGUUGAAAUGCAGAAGGCUGCACUUCUGUAUGCCAUAUAUCCAUUUAAAAAAGUACAAAUUUACACAUUACUGUAUGUGGGAUAUUGAUUGAAAGAAACUGAAUAGGAUUCACAGUUAUACUUUUAUUAGUGGUCUGACAAAACGCACACGCACACACACAUACACACAAUGUCAUUGUGAUACAGAAAAGAAGAACUGGGCACAAAGGCAAAAAUACACAAUUAAAAACUCCAUUAUCAGAAUUUGUAACUCUUGUUUUGUCCUCUGUCUAUAUAUGCUUUCCAAUGCAAGGUUCAUAAGAUGUACCUUUGAGCUAUUUCAGAGAACUGGUUUGUCAUUGGUUGAUCUAUGUUCUCUUCAUUAGUGAAAGUCUUUACUGGAUGGAAUAUUUAUACAAUCAGAAAUUAUUUAGUCACACAGCAGGCAGGACUAUUUAAAAUUAACUGAACAUUUAAAUAAUAAUAAAAGAAUAGUGAAAGUCUUCAAAGUUUUACUUUCACAGUUCAUGGCGAAUUUCCAAAAAUAUAUUUGAAAUGUGUAGAAAAUAUUCUUGACCGUUUAUGACAACUACAUCAACCAUUUUGCAUUGAAUGACUUACAUGAUGAACUAAUGUUUUGAGGUGUGAGACUUGCACAGAGAGCUAUAUUAUACAUUUUGAGCAUAGCGUGACAUUAGUAACUGAUAGUGUAGUAAACUGCAGAUAAACGUACAUAAUCAAUUGCAGGAAUGUACAAAAGCAUUCACAACUUGUUCAAAAGAAUGGAAAACUGAUUUUAUUAUUUAUGUACAAAUUACUAGAUGAUGUGGAGGUUAUACAAGCAGUUUUGAGAAUUUCAUUUCUGAAUUGAGAAAUGCACCAAAGCGACUGAGAAAAACUGUAAUAUAUUUUAAAUGUAAUCUAUUCCUGUGAUGGCAAAUCUGAAUUUUCAGCAGCCAUUACUCCAGUCAUCAGUGUGUUACACAGUCUUACUGAAAUUAUUCUAAUAUGCUGAUUUAAUAUAUAUAGACACAUUAAAAUAAAAUUAGAUGUCUUUUAUAAAGUUUCUCAGCUGUGUCCUUUUUUUUUCUGGUCAACAUUAUCAGAUAAUGUUCCUGAAGGUCGUUCUCACUCCAUAUUUGUCACAGUCAUGGACUUCUAAUCUCCUGUUCCUUUUGAGUUUUCCUUAUUUGGUCAUGUUCCUCUUCUGGUUUAGUUAAUUGAUUACUCCCCUCCUGUUUAUGUUCUUCUGAUUACUUUCCUUGUGUUUAUAAACCCUGUCUGUUUAGUUCUUGGUUGUCGGUCCUUAGAGUAGCAUAUAGUAAAGUCAAGUCAAGU